ACCAAGCAGAUAGCCUGGGGGAGGGAGAAGUUCGCAGCCGCCUGAGAAACCUGUGAGGGGCCGCUGAUGGUCAGGGCAGCCGGCUGGGGCAGGGUCUCUGGGGCUCUCAUCGGUGUGUUUGAUGUUUCUCGCAACUGUUUUCUGUAACCUCUCCUCACUGCUUGGAUGGCACAGAGGCCCAGCCGGGGCCCAGAGAACCUCAGGGGUUUCCUCGAAGCUGCCUACAAGGGCAGCUUCAGCCAUGGGAGGGAAGUUCUUUCACUCCCCUGGGCAUUAGCCCAGCCCCAGGCCCCGGUGGGGAUGGAAGGUCGAGGGCCCCUCAUAACUACCCCAAGAAGGAACCACACCCAUUUUCCAGCUGAGUAAACUGAGACCCACAGAGGUUGCACACUUGCCGAGGGCCCCUGCAGUGUAAUUGGUGCAGUUUCUUUCCCCACUGCUACCCCUUCACCCCACAGAGCGUAAACUUUGAGCACGAGGAGGCCCAGGGCAGAGGGAGCAGAAGCUUCUUUCAAAAUGAUCCAGAGUAGAAUCUUGAGGAUCUGCAGCUUCCCCAGGGCCGGGAGGGACUUCGAGACAGCCCCCGGGUGGAUGGGCAGCUCUGGACACACAGAAUGAGAGAGAUUCAGUGAGCCUCUUCGGUGCUGUCCCUUGGGAAAUCCCCUUGAGCAACAUGGGGAGCCUGGGGCCACCUGCCCCUCAGGGAGAUUCCCCACCGAGCUCUGCUUCCCCAUCUAACCCCACUACAGCCCUGGAGAGGACAAUGGCUAGCACCCUUGGUUAUGUGGGAACUCAGGCACAGAGAUGUUGGGAGAUUUGUGCAAUGUCCCACAGCAGGUGUAAGCUGGGCUGCUGGGGCUUGAACCCAGAGUGACUCCGAGCCCCUCAGUGCAUCAUGCAAUCUCUGUCUGGGGUGAAAGACCCCAUGAAUAACCCAUCACUAGGUCUCAGUUUUUCCAAUCGUAGCGGGUUGGACUCCAGUGCUAAGGAGGGUGCUGCUAUCUGCCCCCCUGGCCUCUGGGGGCUGGGGCUGACAUCAUGGUGGGUUUGUCUGCAGGAGUGAGAGCCCCCGGGGUGGCUCUCUGUUCUCAGGUCAACAAAGCCUUCCUCUGCCACAUCGGUAGAAACCCCUGAUGACCCCAGUGAGCCAGGGGGGCCGUGAGAGGACCCUGGGGUGGUCAGGCAGCUCAGAGCCCAGGGCUCUGGCCUCCAGUUCAGUGGUCUCCAGCAGCUACCUGUCUUUGUUGAGCUCCAGGGUGCAAGCUGGGGAGCCUGGCCAGGUGGGUGCUGGCACCUGUCCUGGAGGGAGGCCCAUUUCAGUCCUGAGGGUAGGGCAGAAACAGCGGGACCAGGAGCCAGGACAGCUGGGCUCACCUGGGAUCCAGACAGGCUCCUUUCUUUCCUGAGUCCUCAUGUGCUCACCUGUGAGCAGCCAGGUGGAGUGAGGAGCCGUGAAGCAUUCCGUGAGUCCUUGCAGGGCUUCAGGCUUGUCAUUCAUUCAUGAAUUCAAUCAUUCGACAGACUUACAGAGCACCUGCUGCAGGCCAAGCACCAUCUUAUCUCUGGGGCUACAAAAGUGAUCAAGCAGAGGAGGCUGCAGGAGGAGGGUGUACAUGGCGGGGGUUGGGGGGCGUACCUGGUUGGGUGUGUUUUGUUUUCAUAGAUACAUAUCACCUGUUAGGAAACAAAACCAGCCAGCAUACCAGAUUCAUGAUUUCAUAGCUACCAAUGCUUAGGAUGAAGCAAACUUACCAAAUGAAAAAGCGAGUGGAUUUGAAGUUGAUCUAGAGAGCAGGCGGUGGACAGAGAGGGCCGGAAUCGUGCACGCGGCUGUGGGCGCCUGGGGCUCUCAGCAGAGGCCGGGCGAGCAGGGGACUGAGCUUUGCUGUCUGCCUAGGGGGAGUCUGGGCUUUGAGGAGAGACGUGGGACUUCCACAGAUGCUCCUUCCCCUGAACCUUCUGGAAGUGGCCAGACCAAGUCCCACUUAAUAACGUGACUGUUUCAGUUUGGCUCUGCUCAAAUAGGUCUCUCACACCCGACAGUCACAUUGGGCCUCCAAGUGGGCUCCCGCUGCAGAGAUGUCAGCGUCCAACAAGCGCCGGUUUGGGUCCUAGCUCCGCCCGUCCACCCAUCCGCCCGCAUGAGUCUAGUCAAGCCACAGGCCUUCCCCGAGCCACCAGCUGCUUGAACAGGAAAGACUGUUUCAUGGCACCAAAUAAGCUCAGGUUGACGGCCCUCUCCUGUCCCUUCCCCUGCCACACCUUGAAGAGCCUGCAUCCUUUGAGGCACGGGGGUUUUCCUCAGGCCUUCUCUCUGGGGAUUGGACUUGGGUGGGACACAUGGUCCAGGAAGCCAACUCGGGCCCUCCCACCUCCCGGGGACCUGGCAGUCUCAUCCUUUCGGGAGCCCCCCUACCCCUGGGCUCAGAGCUGGCAGACGCAAUGCAGGUCUCCUACCCCUGUCAUUAGAGAGCCAGAGCAGCGUGGCCUUCAGAAGUCCAGCACAGAUGUGGGGUUACUGCCAAGAUGGGAGGCCUGGCCAGGCAUGCACACGGCCCCCAAGCUGGGGAAGGAGUCUGCCGAGCACAGCAUCUGCAGGAGUCAGACAGGUGAGGGCAAGUAAGAGGGUCCACACUGCAUCCUCCCCUCAGAGUCCUUUAUGGGCCAGGCCAGUGUUAGGCGCUCUUGGGCCUUCUGCCUGGAUCUACGAGGGAGGGGCCAUGAGCUGCAUUUGAGGGAUGAGCCAACCAAUGCCCAGAAAUCCAUAUCAGUGUGAUUUCAGCUGCUUCUGGGAAAGAAGUAAAAGGAGUCUGGUCAGGCUGGGUGGGGUGUCCAGGCUGUAGCCGGCCUGAGGGGGGCAUCAAGGCAGCUGUCAGCUGGGACUUGGGCUCUAGGGCCAUGAGGAAGGCUUCUGGGAAAAGUCAGGCUGCUGAAGUAGGUCGAGAGCCUAGACUUUGGUCUGAGUCUCAAUUCUGCUACUUUCUUAGCCAUUUGACCUUGGAUUAGCCUCAGGUUAGCCUCAGUCCGUCAGUGAGGACCCUUCUGGUUGCUGGUGAGAGGAAAUCCAAAUCAAACAGGCUUAAGCAGAAGGAAGGGCUUCAUUAGUUCAUGGAACCGAAAAGUCUGGGGUGGGGGAUAAACUAGCUUCAGGAACGGCUGGAUCCAGCAGUUCAGUUUAUGUAACGGAUUUGGACUUCUCAACUCUCACCUCUGCUUUCCUUCCUACCGGCUUCAUUUUGAAUCAGGGCUGCUCCAUGUGGGGUCCCCAGCUCCGUGCUUGGCAUGUAGGGAAUGCUCCCCAGCCCAGCAACAGGCCAGCUUCAGGGGCCAGGCUGCCAUGAGCAACACAUUAUCUCUGUCUUAGGGAUGUUGACAGUACCCUGGGGGAGAUGGGACAAGAAAAGAGGAAAUUACCAUACAGGGUGAUCAGAGCUGAGACCGAUGUGCACUCCAAAGCCCAUGGGAGACCAGAGGAGGAAUGUCAGAGUUCACAUCUGGAUGGGUUCCCCAAAGUCUUCCUAGAAGAUAUGACAGCUGGACUAGGUUUUGAAGGUGAAGGAGGAGUUGGUCUGGGGAAUGAGGAGUGAGGGAGCGGGAGCCCUGGGGUUCAGUGUGGAGUUCAGGUUGCCUCAGGACCCACACACAGUGGGGCUGGCCAGGCUGUGCAGUUCCCGGCGAGGCUUAGGGGUCAGGAUAGGUGGUGGGGGUGGGGGCAACUGAGCCUACCUAUGCGUGAAAGAUGGCUUUGGCUUCAAGGCAGCGAGGACAGGAAAGAAUGAGCAUGUACGGGCUCUCAGAACCCUUGCUUUCUUUCCCCUACACACUGGGCAAUGCGCAUCCCCAUCCUUGCAGUUUCCUUAAGCACACUCCUCCCAGAGCACCCGCCCCCUUCCUGCCUCUUUCAGGCCCAGCCUCUCCUAUUUAUGCCACUUCUUCCCCACGGAUUGGGUCCCUCUCUCAGACUGUGCCACCCCAUUCUCUGUGACAGUCGCCACACCACCGAGGCCCAUCCCCAGCAUUCAGUUGGUGCUGAGUCAAUGUUUGCUGUGGCAUAAGGCCUGCAGCUGGCAGGCCGAGAUCCUCCUCCCAAACUGCGAGGAGCGCGGGUCCUGGAGGGUCCUCAGGGGACGUGGUGCCAGGGUGGGUGUGAGCAGCCCCCACCCGCUGUGCAACUCUGGACCAGUGGCUGCCCCUCUCUGGGCCUCAGUUUUUUCA
Callorhinus ursinus (northern fur seal) is the source of this 4215-nucleotide non-coding RNA. Lineage: Eukaryota; Metazoa; Chordata; Mammalia; Carnivora; Otariidae. The record is from RefSeq and is a predicted model, not a curated record.